This 253-nucleotide ribosomal RNA is filed under the name uncultured bacterium. RNAcentral describes it as "partial 16S ribosomal RNA". It matches the Rfam family "Bacterial small subunit ribosomal RNA", at positions 524 to 776 of the family's 1533-position model. The record is from RNAcentral.
UACGUAGGGGGCAAGCGUUGUCCGGAAUCAUUGGGCGUAAAGAGCGUGUAGGCGGCCCGAUAAGUCCGCUGUGAAAGUCGGGGGCUCAACCCUCGAAAGCCGGUGGAUACUGUCGGGCUCGAGUGCGGAAGAGGCGAGUGGAAUUCCUGGUGUAGCGGUGAAAUGCGCAGAUAUCAGGAGGAACACCGAUUGCGAAGGCAGCUCGCUGGGACGUUACUGACGCUGAGGAGCGAAAGCGUGGGGAGCGAACAGG